GUCUACAGCCAUACCACCCUGAACGUGCUCAAUCUUACCUGAUCUUGGAAGCUAAGCAGGGUCGGGCCUGGUUAGUACUUGGAUGGGAGACCACCUAGGAAUACCAGCUGCUGUAGGCA
RNAcentral lists this ribosomal RNA (119 nucleotides) under Pteropus alecto (black flying fox). RNAcentral also lists the same sequence under 1 other name. The record is from RNAcentral. Lineage: Eukaryota; Metazoa; Chordata; Mammalia; Chiroptera; Pteropodidae.